RNAcentral lists this ribosomal RNA (509 nucleotides) under uncultured bacterium. RNAcentral's name for it is "partial 16S ribosomal RNA". It matches the Rfam family "Bacterial small subunit ribosomal RNA", at positions 28 to 523 of the family's 1533-position model. The record is from RNAcentral.
GAUGAACGCUAGCGGCAGGCCUAAUACAUGCAAGUCGAACGGGAUUGCGGUGUAGCUUGCUACACUGCAUGAGAGUGGCGCACGGGUGCGUAACGCGUGAGCAACCUACCCAUAUCAGGGGGAUAGCCCGGAGAAAUCCGGAUUAACACCGCAUGGGACAGUAUUACCGCCUGGUAUAGCAGUUAAAUAUUUAUAGGAUAUGGAUGGGCUCGAGUGACAUUAGCCAGUUGGUGGGGUAACGGCCCACCAAGGCGACGAUGUCUAGGGGCCCGGAGAGGACGACCAGCCACACUGGAACUGAGACACGGUCCAGACUCCUACGGGAGGCAGCAGUGGGGAAUUUUGGACAAUGGGCGAAAGCCUGAUCCAGCCAUUCCGCGUGCAGGAUGAAGGCCCUCGGGUUGUAAACUGCUUUUGUACAGAACGAAAAGGUUUCUACUAAUACUAGGAGCUCAUGACGGUACUGUAAGAAUAAGCACCGGCUAACUACGUGCCAGCCGCCGCCGUAA